AGGGGGAGGUGGGGCGGGCCCCACUGGAUGUGCCAGGGACCAGGACCAGGCCACGCUGGGCCAGAGCUGUCAUGGUUCAGGCCUUGCACACAGAACCACAGAACAUGCUCAACAAGCCCCCUAAGCUUAGGGGCACUGACCUACCCUGGGGACCAGUAAUCUUCAAGAUGAGAAAGCGGAGGCACAGCGGUGCCCUGAUACGGCCAAGAGAAGCACUGUGGGUAAGCAGGAGAGCUAGGAACAGACCCCAGCUGCCCUCGCUGGCGAAUGCACAGAACCAUUACAUCAUCCUACCCCGAGACCCAACCAAGAGGUACCCACACCCCGUGGCAGCCGGGGCUGAAGGCCUGGAGAUAGGAGAGGAGGCCCCACAUACUCCAGCACCCAAGGCAAUGAGAGAAACUGAGGCCCAGGAAGGUGCUAGGUCCGUGAAGAGGAAGGUGGGAAGGGCUGGGCAGUGAGCUUCUUCAGAGCUGAGGUUCUUCUCUGCCACCCCCUCCUGUCUUGCAGGUCUCAAACCGCGUCAGGCCCCUCGAGAGCUCCUAUGGAUCAACAGUGUCUGGGGAGAGCCAGAGCCCCGGGACAGAUGCAGGGCUGCCUAAGACCCUCAGAUGGCCCACCUGAUGCAGAGUCAACCAUUCAAUCUAGUCCAAGCCUGAACUCUUGGGUUCUGGGUCUGUGGGGUGUCCAGAAUCCUGGAGUGGGAUGACUGAGGCUUAGGGGUGCCCCUGCCUGGGCUGCUCAGCCAGCAGGUGUGAACAAGGGUUCCUGCCUCCCAAGUCACAGAGGGAGAGAAACUGAGGCACCGGAAGACCUGCUUCUCUCCUCCACAGGACUCCACAGGAAUCUGGGGCUUGAAACUUGGGCCUUGGUUCCCUGCCCUGUAGCCCUGAUAGGUUCACACAUGAAGGGAAGGUUCUCAAUGCACCAAGGAGCAGGAUGUGGCCUUAGGGACUAGAGGGAGCUCGGGGCAGGGGCUGGGCUCGCUGCAUUGGUAGACAGGGGCACAAAAGGGGGCCAGAGGGUCUGGCUAGAUGUUCCAGGGAGGUUCUGAGAAGCGGAGUGGGCUGGGAGGCAGUCAGCCAGAACUUCCCCUCCCCCUCCCACUGCGGUCCCAUCCCUCCAGAACCCAGCACCAGGAGGAGUGGUGGCCCUGCAGGAGGGGCAGGGGUCGUCCAGGAAAAGACAGGGAGUUGGUUAGAUGGAGGAGCAGACCUCCAAAACCAAUGUAGGGGUGGGGGCAGAAGAAGAUAUUAUGGGGUGUAUGUCAAUUCCACCCCAGAGGGCUCCUUUCGGUCAAGUGGGGGUGAGGUCACUCUUUGAGGGGGCGAGGUCAGAGAGGCACAGCUCCAGGGUUGGGGGGACAUAGUGCUGAGGAGCCUCAGAGGGCUGGUGGGAUGCAGUUCACAGCACUAGAAGGGUCUCAGAGAGCAGAGGUGACCGGUGGCAGGGAUGUCAGCUUCAAGAAGGUUCCAGCCCCAGGAGAGCAUGCUAGGGAGGGGGGUCCCAGCCCCAAACAGGAGAGCAGUCACUAGGCAGCAUUGUGGAAAGCAGGUGGCAGUCUCCAAGGGGAUCCAGGCUCGAAAGUGGUCCUACCCUCAUGGAAGCACAGUGGGGAGGUCCCAGCUCCUAGAAGUCAUGGGGGAUGGCGCCAACCAGAAGGGCACACAGGGGGUCUUGGUCUCUAGGCGGGGGUCACAGAUUCUGGGAAGCAGGCUGGGGUCCAGCCUCAAGAGGUACGGAAGGUCCUAGAAGGCACACCGGGGGUCUGGGCCUUGAAUGGGGUUGUAUCCCGCUUGGGGUUCUGGGGAAGCAAAGUAGAGGGUCCCCAGACUCGGGAAGUUUGCUGGGGGCGAGAGUGUCACAAUUUAGGGAAAGUUCCGGGUCCUGGAAGGCUCAAAGGAGUCCGGACCUGGAAGGGGACACAGUCCCAAGGAAGCUGCGAGUUGAGGAGCGGGGAGGGGGAGCCCAACUUCAGCGGCGGUGGGUGGUAACCGCUGGGGGACUCCCAGCCCCGGGAGCCUGUCUUGGCGGGCUGGUGCCAGCCUGAAGGAGGGUCCCAGCCAGAGGAGGCGGAAACACAGCGAGGAGCCCCAGUUCCCGGGGAGAUCAGCCGGGGGUUCCCAGCGCCAGAGGGUCGCCGCCGCCAGCCCGCGGUCUCUCACCUUCGAAGAAGCGCUGCAGCGCCUCCGUCUCGUCCACCACCUCCAUGUCCCGCCUGCCCGGCGCACACUCCAGCCGCGGCCCCGCUACAGCCCGGCCCGGGGGCGCGGCAUCGCCGGCGCGGCCCGCGCGACAGUCCCGGCUGGGCUCCGGCUACGGUCCCGCCCGGUCCGCCGCCGCGCUUGCCCCCCGCGCGUCCCUGGCCCGGCCCCUGCCCGCCCCACGCGCCCCGCCCGCCGCGCCCAGCGCCCCCUGCCGGCCCGCGCCGCGCCCAGCCCGGCCGCGGGCACCACGCUCCCGACUCCUGCAGGCGGCGCUCAGCGCUGGGCAGUCCUAGGCUUGCGGGGCGCGGGGCCGUCCCGGGUCGGGGGACGCGAGACCGUCCCAGGCUUGAGGGGCGCGGGGCCUUCCCGGGUCGGGGUGGGGGCGAAGGGCCGCUUGGCCUCUGUGGGGUCGGGACUGGAAGGGUGUGCCCUCGCCGUCCUCGCCUUCGUCUUGCACGGGACAAGAUGUCACGAUUCCGAAUCCAAACCUCAGAGACAGCCCCCAUCCCUCUCGUUAGCCACCCACACACCCCGCUCAGCAACAAUAACAACCUGCAUUUAGGGAACGUGUGUUAUGUGCCAGGCCACACAGGCAUUAUCUCAUGUACUCCUCACAGGCACCUUAUCAAGGAGAUGCUGUUGUUACCUGCAUUUUACAGAUGGGGAAACUGAGGCUCAAUGCAUUAAGGACUGCCAGGAAGCCCUGUCCUGUGGCUGUGAUGAUGGAAAUGUUCCCUGUGUUGUUCAGUAUGGUAGUCACUGGCCACAAGUGAGCACUGGAAAUGUGCCUAUUGAGACUGAGGAACUGAUUUUUUCAUUUUGUUUAAUUGUAAUUAAACAGUUACGUGUGG
This 3058-nucleotide long non-coding RNA is filed under the name Homo sapiens (human). RNAcentral describes it as "HSALNT0363016". Lineage: Eukaryota; Metazoa; Chordata; Mammalia; Primates; Hominidae. The record is from RNAcentral.